This 471-nucleotide ribosomal RNA is filed under the name uncultured bacterium. RNAcentral describes it as "SSU rRNA". It matches the Rfam family "Bacterial small subunit ribosomal RNA", at positions 26 to 518 of the family's 1533-position model. The record is from RNAcentral.
AGAAUCAACGCUGGCGGCGUGCCUAACACAUGCAAGUCGAACGAGAAAGUGGAGCAAUCCAUGAGUAAAGUGGCGACCGGGUGAGUAACACGUGACUAACCUACCUUCAAGUGGGGAUAACCUCGGGAAACCGGGCUAAUACCGCAUAACAUCUUUGGAGUGGAAAUUCUGGAGAUCAAAGGAGCAAUUCGCUGGAAGAGGGGGUCGCGGCUGAUUAGCUAGUUGGCGGGGUAAUGGCCACCAAGGCUUUGAUCGGUAGCCGGCCUGAGAGGGCGCACGGCCACACUGGAACUGAAACACGGUCCAGACUCCUACGGAGGCAGCAGUGGGGAAUUUUGCGCAAUGGGGAAACCCUGACGCAGCAACGCCGCGUGGAGGAUGAAAGUCCCUUGGGACGUAAACUCCUUUCGACCGGGAAGAUUAUGACGGUACCGGUGGAAGAAGCCCCGGCUAACUCGUGCCAGCAGCCGC